This 301-nucleotide ribosomal RNA is filed under the name uncultured bacterium. Its description in RNAcentral is "partial 16S ribosomal RNA". It matches the Rfam family "Bacterial small subunit ribosomal RNA", at positions 509 to 808 of the family's 1533-position model. The record is from RNAcentral.
CAGUCGCCACGGUAAUACGUAGGGGGCGAGCGUUGUCCGAAGUUACUGGGCGUAAAGCGCGCGUAGGCGGCUUCUUAAGUCUGAGGUGAAAGGUUCAACGCUUAACGUGAACAGUGCCUUGGAUACUGGGGAGCUUGAGUAUGGGAGAGGGCAGUGGAAUGGCUGGUGUAGCGGUGAAAUGCGUAGAUAUCAGUCGGAACACCCAUGGCGAAGGCAGCUGCCUGGCCUAAUACUGACGCUGAGGUGCGAAAGCGUGGGGAGCGAACGGGAUUAGAUACCCCCGUAGUCCCUGUCUCUUAUU